GAACUUUCUUUUCCGAAGAUAGCAAUGUGCUGUCAACGUUUUACGGAUCAUUCCAUUUUGCGUUACCACAGCGAGGGGGACUUUGGCAUUUUAAUCUAUUAAUUUUUUGACGUAAGACGCAUCAUUGUAACGUUAAGUGCAUUGACUUUUUAUACUCGAACAUUUUAUUUUGAUUCAGUUGAAUUUAUCCAGCUGUAUAAUUGUGAAUGAUCUAGCUAACUUAGCUGGCUGAGUUGAUAUUACAAACGGCUAACUCACAGACACGAUUUAUUUUUUAAACAUUUUGUGAAAUGUUCUUGGACAGCAUGGAAACUAAAGUGGAAUUCGAAGUACUGAAACCUUGCGACUCCAGAAGAUCUGGUAAACUUUCAAAGUGCAGACUGAGGAAAGUUCUCCAUUUGAGUUCCAAGGAAGGCCUGAAACGGUGGCGCACCAACCUUGUCAAAGCCACUCUCAAAAAAUACAUUCGUUGCGAACAGAAGAGGGUGCUCACUAAACCGGUCAACCAAGAACAACUUUUGACGGGCAACGGCGAAGAUAUGACGUAUAUGGCGACCGAGAAUAUCGGCAGAAUUACACGACCACUAGGCGCAAUGGCGCCAAAGAAUACAACACAGUAUCUGAUGGACAUUGUAUACGACGACAUGCACAUUGACACCAGUUCCAACCAGUUCAAGUCGCAACCAGUUUCAUUUGUUUCUAGCGCCUCUCUUUCACCCAGGAGCGCGUGUGAAAGUUCUCUUGAUUUUCAACAGAGGGACUUCGACGAAAUGUAUCUCCAUUUUGGAUCAUGUUGAUCAGGCUUGAACCAGUCUGUGGCAGAGCUGACCAAUGCAUUGACUCUAAACCUCGCAAACCAAGCGACGCACCGGACGCUGCCUGUCGGUGGGCGCUCGCUCGCAGCGUCGCUUCCGGUGAAGUUGAGUCCACCGCUAAGGUAUCCCAGGUAAACCUGCGUCACCAACAGGUCACUCCGUUCUUCGACAUGCCUCCUACCUGACUGCAAUCAGCUGGCCGUUGCCAGAUCGAUGGACACGUGCGGAUGACUGAGUAAGGUUUCAAGUCCACCUCACAUGUAGUGUUGCAGUUCUAAUGUAUACUUAAUGGAUAAUACUGACUUGAUUAGCAAUCAUGUUACCAAAUGCAAGUUUGGGUAAUAUUCACUCAUUACAGAUAUUUGUUACCCAUAGCAAAGACAUUCAAUCCAUUUUUUGAUUACUUAAUGUAAACGUUUGUUUAAACAUGUUGCCAAUGACAUCUGUGUAAAUGUAUUGUAUGUGUCUGGACAUGUUGAGAAAUCCUAACUUCCUAGUUAAAUGCUCGUGUGAAUAAAAGUGUAUGACCUGUUGCCA
RNAcentral lists this long non-coding RNA (1352 nucleotides) under Salmo salar (Atlantic salmon). RNAcentral's name for it is "lncRNA (ENSSSAG00000089809.1)". The record is from RNAcentral. Lineage: Eukaryota; Metazoa; Chordata; Actinopteri; Salmoniformes; Salmonidae.